This 675-nucleotide long non-coding RNA is filed under the name Lotus japonicus. RNAcentral describes it as "long non-coding RNA (LJAP_LNC000496)". Lineage: Eukaryota; Viridiplantae; Streptophyta; Magnoliopsida; Fabales; Fabaceae. The record is from RNAcentral.
CUUAAUCAACAUUUUGUGAACCGCAAGUGUGAAUAAUUUGACCUAAACCCAUCUUUUUUCUUCAGAGACGGUAGCAAAGAAACGCCCACAUGACACUGGAGGGGGCAGGCAUUAAUGUUGUUUUUCAUAUCCCAAACCCGCAGUACAAUUUUUCUCCUUUUAUACCUGUCUUCUGCUUCUUCAUCGACCUUAGACUGUUAGAUAUGUUUCUAUCAUUGCUCAAUAGAGAUUUAUUCAUCAUUGUCCAUACCUUCUUCAUGAUUCAUGGACUUUUGGCUGAAUUACGUGACAAUGUCAAGGAAAUGGGUAAUUAAAUGUGAUAAUAAGUGAUAUCUACAUUUUACAAGGGUUUAAAACGGAACUCAAUUUUGGAUAAGAAAAUGGCGUAGCUUAUUAAACCAUAGUGUUCUGAUAAAAAUUUCUGAUUUUAAGUUCCAGGUGCAGUGGACUAAAUCGAUCUGGAAAAAGUUUUUCUACCCUCUUAUUUAGUGGAGGCUAUAUGCAUACAUCUAAAAGCCAGCUUGGACAAACUUUCCAAGUAAGCUUUAUCUCUUUUUCUUCUUACCUAUUUGUCUUUGUUCUACUACUGCAAUGCCAAAUUAUUAACUUCUCUUUGUAGAUUUUGGGUAAAUCCUAAUAUUUUGAUUAUGAUUACUUCCUAACUGCACAUACNNN